This is a long non-coding RNA of Xenia sp. Carnegie-2017, 242 nucleotides long. RefSeq lists it as uncharacterized. NCBI's taxonomy places the organism in Eukaryota, Metazoa, Cnidaria, Anthozoa, Malacalcyonacea, Xeniidae. The record is from RefSeq and is a predicted model, not a curated record. The transcript is spliced from 3 exons.
CGAAUUUUGUCACGGCGACACAGAAUGGUCACGUGAAGACAAUGUUCAAGGUUGCAUGGAGUCCGUUUCUUGCCGCGUUCAACGUCAAUCUACAAGGCAACGACAAUCCUUCUGUUGCUUCAUUUUGUCUUGAUGGAAUCCGCUGUGCAAUACGAAUAUCUUGCAUAUUCAGCAUGCCUUUGGAAAGAGAUGCUUUUGUACAAGCGCUAUCCAGGUUCAUUUUACUUACUGCGACCAGUGGC